GGUGUGCAUAGUCAAAAGGCAGAGGGUGACCACACACUGAGAGAUACAUAUGGAGGUAUACAGAGAUGCAGAUGAGCACACCACAGACUGAGCCUUGUUCUUUUGAACACCGUGACACAAAACCAAGUCACAAGUUGUGUUCCAGGCUUGAAUCAAUGACAACUCCAAGGCCAGCCAGUGUCAUGUUCCCUUGCUCAGGAUGUUUGACCGCAGCAUCAGGAGAGUAAAGGACAGCAGGAAAGUGACUAAUCCUGCACAGAACCCAGGACCCAGAUCUCCCGGGCUCAGCAUCUCUUCCUGUCAGUUCUGAACGGUCUCAGUCAAGAGCAGAACUCUAGGCAGUGUCCCAUGGAAGAAUCCAUCACAUUUCAGCCAAAGCAUCGAGAUUUGUCUUCUUUUUCUAUCAAGCUUUCCUCAGGUAUUUCUGUGUGGGCAAUUAAUUUCUUUACCAUCCUUCAAUAAAUAUCUAACAAUAAAGAUGAUCAAAAAGUGAAAGUAGA
Long non-coding RNA from Mus musculus (house mouse), 500 nucleotides. RefSeq annotates it as predicted gene, 30454. The transcript has 3 exons. The record is from RefSeq and is a predicted model, not a curated record. NCBI's taxonomy places the organism in Eukaryota, Metazoa, Chordata, Mammalia, Rodentia, Muridae.